Molecule: ribosomal RNA, 457 nt
Filed under: uncultured bacterium
Lineage: Bacteria
Description: partial 16S ribosomal RNA
Rfam family: Bacterial small subunit ribosomal RNA
Source: RNAcentral
GACGAACGCUGACAGUAUGCUUAACACAUGCAAGUCGACCUGUACGGCGCUUUCGGUGGCGGACGGGUGAGUAACGCGUAAAUAACACGCCUCUAACCUACGGACAACAUUGGGAUACGAAUGCUAAUACCUGAUAUUUUGAUUAUAUGGCAUCGUAAGACUAUGAAAGCUAUUUGUGGUUUGGGAUGGAUUUGCGUCCUAUUAGCUAGUUGGUGGGGUGGUGGCUCAUCAAGGCGUCGACGGGUAGCCGGCCUGAGAGGGUGGUGGGCGACAAUGGGGCGGAGAUACGGCCCAAACUACUACGGGGGGAAGCAGUGGGGAAGAUUGCACGAUGGAGGGAAGUCUGAUUCAGCAAGGCCUCGUGCGUGAUGAAGGCCUUCUGGUUGUAAGCAGCUUUCUAUCAUGACGAAGCAUUUAUGUGACGGUAGCAGUAGAAGAAGCAACGGCUAACUACGUG